GAUGAACGCUGGCGGCGUGCCUAAUACAUGCAAGUCGAGCGAACAGACGAGGAGCUUGCUCCUCUGACGUUAGCGGCGGACGGGUGAGUAACACGUGGAUAACCUACCUAUAAGACUGGGAUAACUUCGGGAAACCGGAGCUAAUACCGGAAAAUAUAUUGAACCGCAUGGUUCAAUAGUUAAAGACGGUUUUGCUGUCACUUAUAGAUGGAUCCGCGCCGCAUUAGCUAGUUGGUAAGGUAACGGCUUACCAAGGCAACGAUGCGUAGCCGACCUGAGAGGGUGAUCGGCCACACUGGAACUGAGACACGGUCCAGACUCCUACGGGAGGCAGCAGUAGGGAAUAUUGCGCAAUGGGCGAAAGCUUGACGGAGCAACGCCGCGUGAGUGAUGAAGGUCUUCGGAUCGUAAAACUCUGUUAUUAGGGAAGAACAAAUGUGUAAGUAACUAUGCACGUAUUGACGGUACCUAAUCAGAAAGCCACGGCUAACUACGUG
This 497-nucleotide ribosomal RNA is filed under the name uncultured bacterium. RNAcentral describes it as "partial 16S ribosomal RNA". It matches the Rfam family "Bacterial small subunit ribosomal RNA", at positions 28 to 507 of the family's 1533-position model. The record is from RNAcentral.